UAGGGAAUCUUCCGCAAUGGGCGAAAGCCUGACGGAGCAACGCCGCGUGAGUGAUGAAGGUCUUCGGAUCGUAAAACUCUGUUAUUAGGGAAGAACAAAUGUGUAAGUAACUAUGCACGUCUUGACGGUACCUAAUCAGAAAGCCACGGCUAACUACGUGCCAGCAACCGCGGUAAUACGUAGGUGGCAAGCGUUAUCCGGAAUUAUUGGGCGUAAAGCGCGCGUAGGCGGUUUUUUAAGUCUGAUGUGAAAGCCCACGGCUCAACCGUGGAGGGUCAUUGGAAACUGGAAAACUUGGAUGCAGAAGGGGAGAGUGGAAAUCCAUGUGUGAGGGUGAAAUGCGGAAAGAUAUGGGGGAACACCAGUGGCGAAGGCGACUUUCUGGUCUGUAACUGACGCUGAUGUGCGAAAGCGUGGGGAUCAAACAGG
Molecule: ribosomal RNA, 429 nt
Filed under: Actinomycetes bacterium
Lineage: Bacteria; Bacillati; Actinomycetota; Actinomycetes
Description: Actinobacteria bacterium partial 16S ribosomal RNA
Rfam family: Bacterial small subunit ribosomal RNA
Source: RNAcentral